Molecule: long non-coding RNA, 285 nt
Filed under: Lathyrus oleraceus (garden pea)
Lineage: Eukaryota; Viridiplantae; Streptophyta; Magnoliopsida; Fabales; Fabaceae
Description: Pisum sativum (pea) long non-coding RNA (PSAT_LNC013864)
Source: RNAcentral
UCAUUUUAUUAAUUAAUUCAAAUAAUUAUUUUUACAUACACCAUAUUACAUAUAAUACAUACCCAUUAUGUUAUACAUCAUGAGUACAUUUUCAGGAAAAUAAAAAUAAAAGAGAAAAAGGAGAUCUUAUCUUCAGCUUCAAGCUUCCACUUCAUAUUUCCCUCGCCAUCAGCGUCCUCUUCAAGCUAUAGCUUCAAGUCACAUGAAAAUAAACUUUAAAAAAAAACAAUCAACAUAAAAAUUGCAUUAAGAAAGCCAUUCGAACAUGGUCAAACUUCAAACUCA